This 399-nucleotide ribosomal RNA is filed under the name uncultured Glomus. RNAcentral describes it as "SSU rRNA". It matches the Rfam family "Eukaryotic small subunit ribosomal RNA", at positions 569 to 971 of the family's 1831-position model. The record is from RNAcentral. Lineage: Eukaryota; Fungi; Glomeromycota; Glomeromycetes; Glomerales; Glomeraceae.
AGCAGCCGCGGUAAUUCCAGCUCCAAUAGCGUAUAUUAAAGUUGUUGCAGUUAAAAAGCUCGUAGUUGAAUUUCGGGGUCAGUAGGUUGGUCGUGCCACUGGUAUGCACUGGCUUUACUGAUUCCUCCUUCUUGAAGAACUGUAAUGCUAUUAAUUUAGUGUUGCAGGGAAACAGGACUGUUACUUUGAAAAAUUAGAGUGUUUAAAGCAGGCUAACGCCUGAAUACAUUAGCAUGGAAUAAUGAAAUAGGACGUUUGAUCCUAUUUUGUUGGUUUCUAGGAUUGACGUAAUGAUUAAUAGGGAUAGUUGGGGGCAUUAGUAUUCAAUUGUCAGAGGUGAAAAUUCUUGGAUUUAUUGAAGACUAACUACUGCGUAAAGCAUUUGCCAAGGAUGUUUUC